AAGAGCUCAGAUUUGAAAUCGUGUUUCGGCACGAGUUGUAGAGUGUAGGCGGGAGUCUCUGUGGAGCGCGGUGUCCAAGUCCCUUGGAACAGGGUGCCUGAGAGGGUGAGAGCCCCGUAGGGUGCUGCGCGAAGCUUUUGAGGCCCUGCUGACGAGUCGAGUUGUUUGGGAAUGCAGCUCCAAGCGGGUGGUAAAUUCCAUCUAAGGCUAAAUAUUGGCGAGAGACCGAUAGCGAACAAGUACUGUGAAGGAAAGAUGAAAAGCACUUUGAAAAGAGAGUGAAACAGCACGUGAAAUUGUUGAAAGGGAAGGGUAUUGGGCUCGACAUGGGGGGUGCGCACCGCUGUCUCUUGUAGGCGGCGCUCUGGGCGCCCUCUGGGCCAGCAUCGGUUCCUGCUGCGGGAGAAGGGGCUCCGGAAAGUGGCUCUUCGGAGUGUUAUAGUCGGGGCCAGAUGCCGCGUGUGGGGACCGAGGACUGCGGCUUCUGUCUCGGAUGCUGGCAUAACGGCGCAAUACCGCCCGUCUUGAAACACGGACC
Molecule: ribosomal RNA, 538 nt
Filed under: Pichia manshurica
Lineage: Eukaryota; Fungi; Ascomycota; Pichiomycetes; Pichiales; Pichiaceae
Description: eukaryotic LSU rRNA
Rfam family: Eukaryotic large subunit ribosomal RNA
Source: RNAcentral